This 253-nucleotide ribosomal RNA is filed under the name uncultured bacterium. RNAcentral describes it as "partial 16S ribosomal RNA". It matches the Rfam family "Bacterial small subunit ribosomal RNA", at positions 524 to 776 of the family's 1533-position model. The record is from RNAcentral.
UACGUAGGGAGCAAGCGUUGUCCGGAAUCAUUGGGCGUAAAGCGCGCGUAGGUGGCCUCAUAAGUCCGCUGUGAAAGUCAAAGGCUCAACCUUUGAAAGCCGGUGGAUACUGUGAGGCUAGAGUACGGAAGAGGCGAGUGGAAUUCCUGGUGUAGCGGUGGAAUGCGCAGAUAUCAGGAGGAACACCAAUAGCGAAGGCAGCUCGCUGGGACGUUACCGACACUGAGGCGCGAAAGCGUGGGGAGCGAACAGG